This 901-nucleotide ribosomal RNA is filed under the name Bostrychia calliptera. RNAcentral's name for it is "eukaryotic LSU rRNA". It matches the Rfam family "Eukaryotic large subunit ribosomal RNA", at positions 1278 to 2145 of the family's 3401-position model. Lineage: Eukaryota; Rhodophyta; Florideophyceae; Ceramiales; Rhodomelaceae. The record is from RNAcentral.
GUGUGUAACAACUCACCUGCCGAAUGGAUUAGCCCUGAAAAUGGAUGGCGCUGAAGCGGGCAGCCGACACUGUGCCGUCUGGGCAAAAAAUAAUCAAAAAAAACAUGAUCCAGAUGAGUAGGAGGAAUGUGGCGGUCGUAUUGAAGCGUGUGCGCAAGCAUGCGUGAAACGUCCGCUAGUACAGAUCUUGGUGGUAGUAGCAAAUAUUCAAAUGAGAACCUUGAAGGGCGAAGCGGGGAAGGGUUCCACGCGAACAUUGAUUGGGCGUGGGUGAGUCGUUCCUAAGCCGUGUGGUAAUGGGUAGAGAAACGGCGAAAGGGAAGCAGGUUGAUAUUCCUGCACACGGAUGUGGAUAUGCGGUGACGCACACUGGGGCGGUGAAGUCGUCGAUUGCACUGGGCAGAGAUUUCUUUUCUGUUUGACGGAGCCUGACUGUACGCUAUGGAAUCCGCUUGUCGGGAGAAAUAGGUAUGUCACGGCAAAGCGCCGGGUUUUUUUUCUGGCGUCCAGUUUGUGAUUGGCGGACCUUGAAAAACUGUCUGCUGGCAAAACACUCGUGUUUUGUGUGAAAAAUUCCACGCCGUAACGUACCGAUAACCGCAUCAGGUCCCCAAGGUGAACAGCCUCUGCUCGAUAUGAAAAAUGCAGGUGAGGGAAGUCGGCAAAUUGGACCCGUAACUUUGGGAAAAGGGUUGGCUCUAGUGCUGCGUAGGAGUGGUCACUGGUUGUAGCUGCGGAUUGUGGUGCUUUGUUCCAUUGUGAGGGCCUGCGGGCGGAAAAUCUCGGUUUUUCGCUCGCGCUUUUGCGAUGGAAUGAGGCGCUGUUUUUCGCGGUUCCUGGGGACGCCUACAGCAUGCAGCAAACUAGAACUGUAACGGACAAAGGGAAUCCGACUGUUUAA